ACGCAUAGAGCAAAGGCAUUAAGGCAUGCAUGCUUCAAACACCCCCAUUUGCAUAAAAGCUUUUUUCCAGUAAUCAUGAUGACAUAUGAUUGUUUUAUAGGAAGUUGAGGAAGAGCAGGGAGAUAUAGAUCUGCCAUAUCCAGCUGAAAGUCACUGGCAGCUAUCUCAGUCUGCAGCUCUCCCUCCACCAGUCAAAACCAUCCAUGCGGUGAAGCCAGCACGUGUGAGCAGUGACCAUGACGCUGCACUUCACCCAAUCACAAUCGAGAAAGACUGUAAAAUGAAGAAAACAACUUUUAAUGUAUAUUCUUUGGAAGAGUUGACUAAAACCAACAAAAAAGAUGUGAUGUGUUCAGUGUGGAGGACUGCUGGAGUCCCACUGCCUUCUAAUGACCGGUCACUAGAGAGUGGCAGUGAGCCACGAACAGCAAACAGUCUCAUCUUUGAACCAGUUUCAACAAAGAAGCAGAAAAAACGAACCGAUAUUAAACCCACUGAUGAGUUUCAGAACAAAGAGAUAAGUAAACUACAAAAAAUACCAACAGAAGAGCCUGCGUUCUUUCAAAUUCGGUGUGCAGGUUGCGUGGUGCCCUUUGAAAAAGUGACGAGUCGUAACUUUGCAUCCCUUCAAAGCUUUUGCCACAACAGCUGUCACAUGCAUCGGGUCCUCAAAGAGGCUACGGAGCGAUUCAGGAAAGCUCAUUUAAACCGCGUGUUUACAAAAGAGUAUCAGGAUAUCCAGAAGAACCUCGCAAGCAAAAGUGCAGUUUCAGAUGCACAAUCUCUAAGAAACUCUCAGAACUGGAACCGUAGAGAAGGAAGCAGCAGGAGUUGAGCGGUGAGGAGGUCCAGUUCCUCCUCUCUGGAGUAAAGAAGUAUGGCUUCUCCUGGAACUCCAUCUUGUGGUCAUUUCCCUUUCCACCGGGGUGCACUAACGUCGGCCUGGCCAAGAAAUACAGGCAACUCGUGGUAAAAUGAGCAAACAUGAAGUGAAGUAGGUAAUUUAAAGAAUUAGCUAGACAAACGUGCUUACAUACAAACGUUUUUCUCUAAAAAUUUAAAUCCACGGGUGAUGACUGGGCAUAAUUGUUUGGAGACUGUUAUUGUUCUGCACAUAUUUUAGGAAUAUUUCCAUUCUGUUUGUGUUUAAUAUGUAAAUAAUACAGAUUACAAUUUUUUUUUCUUUUGAUUAAAUAUAAGUCUACCUUCUAUUCAACAGAAGUUUUUAUGAACAUGAACUGAGUUAUCAAAUAAAAAAAAACUUCAUUUAUACAAAUUUCCUUUAUAGUAAGUGACAGCAACAAUAGAGUUUGUUGUGUAGUCUUUUAUACAGGAGUUGUGGUAAAUUAACAAAUCAGACGUGCACCAAUUAAAGCCUCUUCCUUCUUUAUUGAGACGCAUUUUGAACAGUAUCUUUAUUUUUGGGGCUGAACAGUGACACAGUGCUAAGUGUGUUUCUUUGUCUUGAGAAGGCCACGGUUCAAUUCCCAGCUGGGACCUUUCUGUGUGGAAUCUGCAUCCGUGGGCUUUCUCCAGAGACUUCAGCUUCCUUGCACAGUCCAUAAACAUACUUUGUCCAUAAACGACUGAUUACUCUAAAGUUUGACUGUGUGGGUUUGUGAUUGUGUGACCCUGCGAUAGGCCCUCAACUUACCCAGUGUGUACCCCGCCUUUGUCCAACGUUCGGCUCUGCCAGCCCUAUGGCCCUUAGUCAAAGGGAACUUUGGUGCAAUUUAUUCAAUGUGACAGUGAAAAAAAGAGUUGCAGAUGUAACAUACAAAGAAGAUUUGUCACCUGCAUGAUUCCAAUCUGAAUCAUCUCUUACUUAUGCUGGAUGGUAUGUUCUAAUCCGCUUGUGCAGCUGCCAGUGUGAGUCAAAUCUCAUGCAGUCGACAUAUUUUUACUCUUUGCUGCAUGUUUGACCCCAGAAAUGAAUCAAAAAGUUCCAUCUGUUGGAAUGUAUUAAUUGUUGGAAUGUUUUUUCAAGAAAUGUAUUUCUGUUAGCAGACGGUGAGACCUUUUCUUGGACCCUUAAAUCAUAUUUUUGCUAUAGCUCUUGGACACAUGGCUUCACGGAAGCAAAUACCAAGUUGUGUUUGCUUUGGCCACCACAAUCCCUAGAGGGACAGGAAAUCAACAAGGGGAGAGGGGACUCGACUCCAGCACUUUUGUUUAUUGUGCCGAAAGCCCCUGGUAUGAGAGGAAUCGCAAAUAGUGCAAAUCAAGCUGUUUAUCUGUUCUGUGUUCACCAAGAGCAGCUCUGCCUGCAAACUGUCCUCUCACAAAAGAAGGGUGUUAAGCUGAGAUCACCGUCUGAAGGUUACCUCGCCUACUCUGUGGGGACUCGUCAAACGGCUGCCAAAAAGACGGGGACUUACCCGCUGGCCGUGCCCUGCAGGAAAUGCUCUUAAGUGUGUCUGUUUUCUCUUCAAAAACUCUCCCUUUCAUUUUUCUUGUCACCUCCUGAUGCCCGUUCCUCCUGUGUUUGAUCCAGAUGCUGGGAUAACAGUGGCGUGGGGGCAGGACGGG
RNAcentral lists this long non-coding RNA (2529 nucleotides) under Oryzias javanicus (javanese ricefish). RNAcentral describes it as "lncRNA (ENSOJAG00000012186.1)". The record is from RNAcentral. Lineage: Eukaryota; Metazoa; Chordata; Actinopteri; Beloniformes; Adrianichthyidae.